RNAcentral lists this unclassified non-coding RNA (1778 nucleotides) under Drosophila ananassae. Its description in RNAcentral is "GF22180". Lineage: Eukaryota; Metazoa; Arthropoda; Insecta; Diptera; Drosophilidae. The record is from RNAcentral.
UCUGGUCACGCUGCCCCUAGCGUUAGUGUUUUUGCCAUCUCUACUCACGGUUUCGCAAAAGACAUAAAUAAUAAUUGGUAAAAAAAACGAUUAAUUAUUGUUAUUGGGGCUAAUUUAUGCCAAAAGUGCACACAUGCCAAACAUUCGCACGUGACACGAACACGAUUGGCAUUAGUGAGCGUGAGGGGAAUCCCGAAUAGAAUGAGAGAAGAUGCGCAUGCGCAGCCGCAGAUUGCUACCGAUUGUCCUGUCGCUGCUAAUCCUGGUCCUCCUGUGUCUCAGUUACUUCUCCGGCCACCUCAGGGACCCCCCUGACGAUGAAUUCCUACUGCACUUGCCCGCCGAAGCCGAGCAGACGCUGGACAAGACCACGCGUCCUGGCGAGCCCUCGGUGCCCAGUGGUCCCCUCCUCAAUCUGACCGACUUCGACUACCUACUGCGCAGUAAUGUGUGUCGCAAGGCGGACCGUGAGCUGCUGGCCAUUCUGAUAGUCACCUCGUACGCUGGACACGAUGCCCUGCGCUCCGCCCACCGCCAGGCGAUACCCCAGAGCAAGCUGGCCGAGAUGGGUCUGCAGCGGGUGUUCCUGCUGGCCGCCCUGCCCACUCGGGAGCACUUCCUCACCCAGGAACAGCUUGUAAGCGAGCAGAAGCGCUUCGGCGAUCUCCUCCAAGGCAACUUCGUGGAGGAUUACCGGAACCUGAGCUACAAGCAUGUGAUGGGCCUGCGGUGGGCGGCCCAGGAGUGCAAGGACCACGCCAAGUUCAUUAUCAAGCUGGACGAUGACAUUAUAUACGAUGUAUUUCACCUCAGGCGGCACCUGGAGGCCCUGGAAGUGGGCCAACCCGCCCUGGCCACCUCCAGCACGCUGCUCUCUGGCUUUGUGCUGGACGCCAAGCCGCCGAUCCGCCUGAAAGCCAACAAGUGGUAUGUGACCCGGCAGGAGUAUCCACACGCCCUCUAUCCCGCCUACCUCUCCGGGUGGAUGUACAUCACCAAUGUGCCCACGGCCUCCAGACUCGUGGCAGAGGCGGAGAGGGUGCCCAUCUUUUGGAUCGACGACACCUGGCUGACGGGUGUGGUGCGUACCCGGCUGGGCAUACCGCUGGAGCGCCACAACGACUGGUUCUCGGCCAAUGCCGAGUUCCUCGACUGCUGUGUGCGCGACCUGAAGCAGCACAGCUACGAGUGCGAGUACUCCAUUGGCCCGAAUGGCGGGGACGACCGACUGCUGGUCGAAUUUCUCCACAACGUGGAGAAGUGCUACUUUGACGAGUGCGUGAAGCGGCCGGCUGGCAAGUCGCUGAAGGAAACCUGUGUGGCGGCCGCCAAGUCGCGAGCCCCAGAGCACGGCUUGGCCGAAAUAAAACCGGUCAAGCUGAGGUGACCUCGGUUCCGGUUUCCGGAUAACCCACCAGACUCAGUAGCGCCUGCUCAGUAGCAGUUAACUUUAAUAUCAUCUACACGUAAGGCAUCCCAUGUGCAAGAGGCCCGUCCUCACCCAUACAUUAGUUUCCUUAAGCUUAAGAUAAUGCAGAACAGUUUUCUGGAUGCAUCCUGUUUGCUAUAACCAGUGUGUGAUAAGAUCGAGUAAUGUAGCUGCAGUCAAAAGAAUAUGCAGAAAAAGUCGAAAAGGUAAGAUUUUAUCACACUCACUUUACUCAGUAACCAGACAGACUCCGUCCUAAUCAGUAUGCUAGGGUUAGGCUCGAAAGUAACUAAGCGAUCAACUGCAUUUAAACACUACAGUCCAAAUAAAUUGCAUAUUUUUCUAAUAA